AUUGCGUGGCAGUAUCAUAUGCUUUUUGUUCUUAAAACAACGCCGAAACCCCCAAACCUGCAUCUUUAAGGAGUCAGAAGUUCUCUCAGCAUCUUUGGGACUAUGGUAUACCUGGUGCAAAUCUUACUUUUUGAU
Long non-coding RNA from Aricia agestis (brown argus), 135 nucleotides. RefSeq lists it as uncharacterized. The transcript is spliced from 3 exons. NCBI's taxonomy places the organism in Eukaryota, Metazoa, Arthropoda, Insecta, Lepidoptera, Lycaenidae. The record is from RefSeq and is a predicted model, not a curated record.